RNAcentral lists this unclassified non-coding RNA (459 nucleotides) under Hevea brasiliensis (rubber tree). Lineage: Eukaryota; Viridiplantae; Streptophyta; Magnoliopsida; Malpighiales; Euphorbiaceae. The record is from RNAcentral.
AAUAAAAUAAAAUAAAAUAAAAACAGUGAACUCGUACUCUCAAAGCAAAACAAAAUUCAAAACCAUUCACUAACUUUCCUAUGAUAGAACACUGGUACGAUAAAAACCCCAAAGCAAAACUUCUAGCUCCAUGGCACACCCAGGUCUCCACUAGCACACCCUACCAAAGCACUACCAGUUCUUCUAUGUGCUCCAUCUGGUCAACUACAGUUACCGAUGCCAACAUGAGUUUCCAACAAAUUGAACCUAGGAGGUUCCAGCAACACUUCUCCAUGAUUCAUUCAAUCCAGAUACAGAAUGGGAUGCAUAUCUAUAUACAGAAAAGCAAUUAUGAAUACUCCUCUUUCAGCCUAAAUCUAGAUCUCUUCUCAAGGUAAUAUUCUUUUUACGUCAUUUCCCUCUUCGGUAUUUUUUGCUUGGUUGUAUACAGACUCAAAUGCAUGCAUACAUACACUUGAA